UUCUUAUCCAGAGAGGUGGAGGGAACGGCCCUUUGAAACCUCGGCAGCAGAUCUUUUUAAAAGAUACUGUGCCAAUUCCAGCAAGUUUAUUUUUAUAGGCUUGAAAGAUAAGAA
RNAcentral lists this non-coding RNA (114 nucleotides) under Clostridiaceae bacterium BL-3. Its description in RNAcentral is "SAM". It matches the Rfam family "SAM riboswitch aptamer (S box leader)". From Rfam's summary of the family: The SAM riboswitch is found upstream of a number of genes which code for proteins involved in methionine or cysteine biosynthesis in Gram-positive bacteria. The SAM riboswitch acts at the level of transcription termination control. The record is from RNAcentral. Lineage: Bacteria; Bacillati; Bacillota; Clostridia; Eubacteriales; Clostridiaceae.